GAUGAACGCUGGCGGCGUGCCUAAUACAUGCAAGUCGAGCGAACAGACGAGGAGCUUGCUCCUCUGACGUUAGCGGCGGACGGGUGAGUAACACGUGGAUAACCUACCUAUAAGACUGGGAUAACUUCAGGAAACCGGAGCUAAUACCGGAUAAUAUAUUGAACCGCAUGGUUCAAUAGUGAAAGACGGUUUUGCUGUCACUUAUAGAUGGAUCCGCGCCGCAUUAGCUAGUUGGUAAGGUAACGGCUUACCAAGGCAACGAUGCGUAGCCGACCUGAGAGGGUGAUCGGCCACACUGGAACUGAGACACGGUCCAGACUCCUACGGGAGGCAGCAGUAGGGAAUCUUCCGCAAUGGGCGAAAGCCUGACGGAGCAACGCCGCGUGAGUGAUGAAGGUCUUCGGAUCGUAAAACUCUGUUAUUAGGGAAGAACAAAUGUGUAAGUAACUAUGCACGUCUUGACGGUACCUAAUCAGAAAGCCAUGGCUAACUACGUG
Molecule: ribosomal RNA, 497 nt
Filed under: uncultured bacterium
Lineage: Bacteria
Description: partial 16S ribosomal RNA
Rfam family: Bacterial small subunit ribosomal RNA
Source: RNAcentral